Molecule: ribosomal RNA, 717 nt
Filed under: Ferrimonas sp. 1S3(2010)
Lineage: Bacteria; Pseudomonadati; Pseudomonadota; Gammaproteobacteria; Alteromonadales; Ferrimonadaceae
Description: bacterial SSU rRNA
Rfam family: Bacterial small subunit ribosomal RNA
Source: RNAcentral
GAGAGUUUGAACCUGGCUCAGAUUGAACGCUGGCGGCAGGCCUAACACAUGCAAGUCGAGCGGAAACGACUUAAYUGAACCUUCGGGGGAYKUUMWGGGCGUCGAGCGGCGGACGGGUGAGUAAUGCUUAGGAAUUUGCCCAGUCGAGGGGGAUAACCAUUGGAAACGAUGGCUAAUACCGCAUACGCCCUACGGGGGAAAGAGGGGGAUGCUUUUGCACCUUUCGCGAUUGGAUAAGCCUAAGUGAGAUUAGCUAGUUGGUGAGGUAAAGGCUCACCAAGGCGACGAUCUCUAGCUGGUUUGAGAGGAUGAUCAGCCACACUGGAACUGAGACACGGUCCAGACUCCUACGGGAGGCAGCAGUGGGGAAUAUUGCACAAUGGGCGCAAGCCUGAUGCAGCCAUGCCGCGUGUAUGAAGAAGGCCUUCGGGUUGUAAAGUACUUUCAGCGAGGAGGAAAGGGUGUGAGUUAAUACCUUACAUCUGUGACGUUACUCGCAGAAGAAGCACCGGCUAACUCCGUGCCAGCAGCCGCGGUAAUACGGAGGGUGCGAGCGUUAAUCGGAAUUACUGGGCGUAAAGCGCAUGCAGGCGGUUUGUUAAGCGAGAUGUGAAAGCCCCGGGCUCAACCUGGGAACUGCAUUUCGAACUGGCAAACUAGAGUCUUGUAGAGGGAGGUAGAAUUUCAGGUGUAGCGGUGAAAUGCGUAGAGAUCUGA